CACCCUUACAAUGAGUAACACCUAACUCCAGUAGUUCUUCUGACCUGAUAUCUCUACUCAGACAUUAAGGUUCUACUCUGUGAGAAGGACCGUGGCAGAUUCUGGUGCUUGAAGAAUUUCAGACUCAGGUCAUGAAAGAUAACUUCUUGCAGCUCAGUCAAACACGUCAGACUGGGUAUUGAACUGCUUCAUGGAGCCUUAGAAUGACUAAGGAUAAGAAUAUUAAAGUUACAUAUGCCAGG
Mauremys reevesii (Reeves's turtle) is the source of this 242-nucleotide long non-coding RNA. RefSeq lists it as uncharacterized. The transcript has 3 exons. The record is from RefSeq and is a predicted model, not a curated record. NCBI's taxonomy places the organism in Eukaryota, Metazoa, Chordata, Testudines, Geoemydidae.